AUGGUCAAGCAAUAAAGAGCACAGGGCGAAUGCCUUGGCACUAGGAGCCGAAGAAGGACGUGAUAAGCUGCGAAAAGCUAC
This 81-nucleotide ribosomal RNA is filed under the name Tyzzerella sp. An114. RNAcentral's name for it is "partial 23S ribosomal RNA". It matches the Rfam family "Bacterial large subunit ribosomal RNA", at positions 1 to 79 of the family's 2925-position model. The record is from RNAcentral. Lineage: Bacteria; Bacillati; Bacillota; Clostridia; Lachnospirales; Lachnospiraceae.